Dromaius novaehollandiae (emu) is the source of this 647-nucleotide long non-coding RNA. NCBI's taxonomy places the organism in Eukaryota, Metazoa, Chordata, Aves, Casuariiformes, Dromaiidae. The record is from Ensembl.
AAAUAAUUUUGAAAUAUAAUUCCAAUGACUGUGAACUGCAGUAGGAACAUUGCAGUUCCAUGGUAAUAUUACUCAGUAAUGUCAACUUUCUUGAGAGCUUUCAGUUAGCUAAUUUUUCAUCUAUUUAGCAUAUCUUUUUGAUAAUUUGUAGUGCUGGUUCUUAAAAUCAGGCUGAUUUGAUGUCUGUUGACUGUUAUGAUACUCUUCUCCUUUAAGUCUUCAUUUGCUGAAUUCAACGUGGAAUCAAUGGAUUUUGCCUUCUUUACUCUUGCUUCUUGCAUUUGUACAAAUGAAAAUGAGGAAUUUCUUAUGAUCUCUUGAGAUGCCGACUCCAAAAUGAUUCUUUGCUUAGGAUACCCACAAACCCACUGAGCAAACUGUUUCUCUUUGGUUGUGUAUUUUGCCCAGUCUCAUAUCUUAUGUCUUAUCUGAAGCACCUUUUCUGCUUCUCUCCCAGCAGGAACAAGUACGUGUCAAAAGGCACUUCUUCCUGGAAGCUAUUUGCACAGAAGCCUGAGCCCCAAGAACUGCGUUGUGCUGCUCAGGAACAGUUUCUUUCUCUUUACUGGGCACGCAAUAUUUGUGAACUGAUUAAUACCUGGCAAGAGGAAGAGACUUGCAUAAGCUUAUACUGGAGGUGGCCUUAA